UAAAUAAUAAUAAUAAUAAUAAUAAUAAUAAUAAUAAUAAUAAUAAUAAUAAAUGGGUCAAACUGACCUGCAUGGCGGUUCUAGUGUUAAGAGACUAGUCUGGCAGGUUCGCAAAGGGCUUGACUGUCUUAUUGGAAGUUUGGUGCAGUUUAAUGACAUAAUGCCGUAGUUACACACCUAAGAAGAGACGCAUCGCAUGAAAUCGAACAUGGCGGCUGCCCAAAGACCACUAGGGGAAUCAAACAUAGCGAAUGGAGGCUACAAAGGGGUUAACACAGAGAGUGGUGAGGGUACGAUAUGAAAAGGGUUAUCUUGCCAUGCAGAGAGGUGAAGGUGCUAUAUGAAACGGGUUACCUUGCCAUGCAGAGACUGGUGAAGGUACUAUAUGAAACUGGUUACCUACCUGUUGUUUAUGCUGAAUCACUUGGAUCCAUUAAGACCCAACUUGACAAAGUUGUGAGAUCAAUAAGCUACUGGGAAAGAAAUGUUGUGUUUCAAAGGCAUUAAAACAUUGUGUUUGUUU
Molecule: long non-coding RNA, 523 nt
Organism: Acipenser ruthenus (sterlet)
Lineage: Eukaryota; Metazoa; Chordata; Actinopteri; Acipenseriformes; Acipenseridae
Exons: 3
Source: RefSeq, a predicted model, not a curated record